RNAcentral lists this ribosomal RNA (497 nucleotides) under uncultured bacterium. RNAcentral's name for it is "partial 16S ribosomal RNA". It matches the Rfam family "Bacterial small subunit ribosomal RNA", at positions 28 to 507 of the family's 1533-position model. The record is from RNAcentral.
GAUGAACGCUGGCGGCGUGCCUAACACAUGCAAGUCGAGCGAACAGACGAGGCUUGUGCUUCGCUGCCGCUAGGGGCGGGUGGGUGAGGCACAGGAGUAUACCCGACAUAUAAGAAUGGGAUCAGGUAGGGAAAGCGGAUCUAACAUACGAUAAGAGGGUGAAACGGAGGGUUCUUCGGAGAAAAACGUACUUGAUGUCACUAGUAGGGAGUUCCUGGCUGGAUUAGCUAGUUGGUAGGGUAACGGCUUACCAAGGCUACGAUGCGUAGCCGAUCUGAGAGGAUGAUCGGCCACACUGGAACUGAGACACGGUCCAGACUCCUACGGGAGGCAGCAGUAGGGAAUCUUGGGCAAUGGGCGAAAGCCUGACGGAGCAACGCCGCGUGAGUGAAGAAGGUCUUCGGAUCGUAAAGCUCUGUUAUUAGGGAAGAACAGCUGUAUAAGUAUCUCUGGCCGUCUUGACGUUACCUAAUCAAUAAGCCCCGGCUAACUACGUG